This 253-nucleotide ribosomal RNA is filed under the name uncultured bacterium. Its description in RNAcentral is "partial 16S ribosomal RNA". It matches the Rfam family "Bacterial small subunit ribosomal RNA", at positions 524 to 776 of the family's 1533-position model. The record is from RNAcentral.
UACGUAGGGUGCAAGCGUUGUUCGGAAUUACUGGGCGUAAAGGGCGCGUAGGCGGACAUCUAAGUCAGGGGUGAAAUCCCAGGGCUCAACCCUGGAAUUGCCUUUGAUACUGGACGUCUCGAGUUCGGGAGAGGUGAGUGGAAUUCCGAGUGUAGAGGUGAAAUUCGUAGAUAUUCGGAGGAGCACCAGAAGCGAAGGCGGCUCACUGGCCCGAUACUGACGCUGAGGCGCGAAAGCGUGGGGAGCAAACAGG